GCUCCUGACAACAAAGAACACACUGCAUGAAGACAAACAGGCUGGUGCAGGUGAAAUAAGAGAUGGGUUUGCUAUUGCUUACUAUUUCAACAACUUCUCUAUCAUCAGAGCCUUUAUUAAAGAACACUGUUAUCAUUGUGGUCUUGCAAACAAGUACACAUCAGCAUGAGUACAAAGUGUUUUAGAAGUUGAUCAGUUUAAGAACAGCAGGUAAUGAAAAGGAUUCUUAUGGAUCUAUUUAUUUUUCUACUUUUGUUAGCCAUCAUUACUACACCCUGAUAUAUAUCUAUAUAUAUCCUGAAUAAAAGCAUACUGUAUUUAUAAAGUGUGCUUUUAGGAUUAAGAAUGGCAAUCCUUUCUGAUUCUGCUCGGUUUGUAAGAGAAGUCAGAUCAUCUCAAAAUCCAAGGAACAGCAGCACUAGGAGAAAUUCACCUCUGACAUGCCAACAGUCCCCUGCUGUUCCCAGGGCACCAGUAUCCUAGGCACUAACUGCUAAGGGAUUCAAUUAGUGGCACCCCUCGUGCCAACACUGCUCUGCUGCCAGGAAUGAUGCCCACGUCUGGCAUGUAAAGCACCUGGAACGCUUGCAGGCUCCAAGAAUCAGGCUGGCUUUUCUUAUACUACAGUGAUAUUACUAGCUACUCAGAUAGAAAGAACCUAAGACACAAAGGGUCUAAGGAAAGAACUGAUCUUUCAAUCUAGAGCACACUAUGCAGUAUGCUUUUCAUAAGCAAGACAAUAAUUAACAGACAUUGACACGCAGUGUUCACUGGUGCUUCAACUACUGCCCUUUGAAACAAGAUGUUCACACCUCAGAGCUGGUUUUGGAGCCGUCUACUGAUGGUGACACAUCAUUACACCAGUUAUGCUCGACCCGUUGCUAAUCUUUGCUCCAUUGCAGUCACAACAACCAGACCUUUUGAAUUAAAGCUAACAUUUCAACAAGCACUGUGUGCCAUUUCAUUCCAUAAGAGUGCUUUGCACCAAUAUCUAGAUCUAGCUUUUACACUUCAUUUUCCUACUAAUCUGUAGUCUAGGAAUGUUUAAAAAUGAAAAUCAAGUUAGGUGAACUUUUUUUUUCCCCUCUGUAUUCUUAUAAAGAAAUAUCUGAAUUUGUCAAAAAAGAUCAAAUCCCCUCCAGUUCUUCGUUGGCAAGAUUUAUUUCCCACCCCCCCCUUCAAUCACAGUCACACAUUUAUUCCAAUACAAUUCAUUAUAUAUUUAAAUGGUCUUAUUUUAGCCAUAUGAAUUUGUAACUUUAUGACUGAAUGAAAAAGCACAAGUGUCUUAAUUCCCAGGAUUGCUCGAAGACUAUUUCAAUACCACAGCCUGAAUUAGAUUAACACAUCUCUGCUUUGGAGAACUGUGCUUUGAUGGUUUGCUUAAAUUUGAGAUUUCCUGAGUUUAGCUCCCGGAAAACAGAUAUAAUUUUGUUCUCUUUCCUAUUGUAAAACUGGAUUCAGAGCUAUGGAGUUUCUGGAUAUAAUCUUCCCAUGUAACCUGCAUCU
Neopsephotus bourkii (Bourke's parrot) is the source of this 1509-nucleotide long non-coding RNA. RefSeq lists it as uncharacterized. Lineage: Eukaryota; Metazoa; Chordata; Aves; Psittaciformes; Psittacidae. The record is from RefSeq and is a predicted model, not a curated record. The transcript is spliced from 3 exons.